RNAcentral lists this ribosomal RNA (273 nucleotides) under uncultured bacterium. RNAcentral describes it as "partial 16S ribosomal RNA". It matches the Rfam family "Bacterial small subunit ribosomal RNA", at positions 523 to 796 of the family's 1533-position model. The record is from RNAcentral.
AUACAGAGGGUGCAAGCGUUACUCGGAAUCACUGGGCGUAAAGCGCGCGCAGGCGGUCUUUUAAGUUGGAUGUGAAAGCCUACGGCUCAACCGUAGAACUGCAUCCAAAACUAUUAGACUAGAGUGUGGGAGAGGAAGAUGGAAUUAGUUGUGUAGGGGUAAAAUCCGUAGAGAUAACUAGGAAUACCAAAAGCGAAGGCAAUCUUCUGGAACACUACUGACGCUGAGGCGCGAAAGCGUGGGGAGCAAACAGGAUUAGAAACCCCGUAGUCC